Molecule: ribosomal RNA, 497 nt
Filed under: uncultured bacterium
Lineage: Bacteria
Description: partial 16S ribosomal RNA
Rfam family: Bacterial small subunit ribosomal RNA
Source: RNAcentral
GAUGAACGCUGGCGGCGUGCCUAAUACAUGCAAGUCGAGCGAACAGACGAGGAGCUUGCUCCUCUGACGUUAGCGGCGGACGGGUGAGUAACACGUGGAUAACCUACCUAUAAGACUGGGAUAACUUCGGGAAACCGGAGCUAAUACCGGAUAAUAUAUUGAACCGCAUGGUUCAAUAGUGAAAGACGGUUUUGCUGUCACUUAUAGAUGGAUCCGCGCCGCAUUAGCUAGUUGGUAAGGUAACGGCUUACCAAGGCAACGAUGCGUAGCCGACCUGAGAGGGUGAUCGGCCACACUGGAACUGAGACACGGUCCAGACUCCUACGGGAGGCAGCAGUAGGGAAUCGUCCGCAAUGGGCGAAAGCCUGACGGAGCAACGCCGCGUGAGUGAUGAAGGUCUUCGGAUCGUAAAACUCUGUUAUUAGGGAAAAACAAAUGUGUAAGUAACUAUGCACGUCUUGACGGUAACUGAUCAGAAAGCCACGGCUAACUACGUG